CAUACUGAGAGUUCCUUGGCAUUCUGUCCACCUCCUUGCCCAUCGUCAGAUAUAUGUGUUGCUUUUGGAGGUGGACAUACUGCCAAUGGAGCUGUGUAGG
RNAcentral lists this microRNA precursor (100 nucleotides) under Sorghum bicolor (sorghum). Its description in RNAcentral is "MIR394 microRNA precursor family". It matches the Rfam family "MIR394 microRNA precursor family". The record is from Rfam by way of RNAcentral. Lineage: Eukaryota; Viridiplantae; Streptophyta; Magnoliopsida; Poales; Poaceae.